AGCGAACGCUGGCGGCAGGCUUAACACAUGCAAGUCGAGCGGGUGUAGCAAUACAUCAGCGGCAGACGGGUGAGUAACGCGUGGGAACGUACCUUUUGGUUCGGAACAACCCAGGGAAACUUGGGCUAAUACCGGAUAAGCCCUUACGGGGAAAGAUUUAUCGCCGAAAGAUCGGCCCGCGUCUGAUUAGCUAGUUGGUGAGGUAACGGCUCACCAAGGCGACGAUCAGUAGCUGGUCUGAGAGGAUGAUCAGCCACAUUGGGACCGAGACACGGCCAAAACUCCUACGGGAGGCAGCAGUGGGGAAUAUUGGACAAUGGGGGCAACCCUGAUCCAGCCAUGCCGCGUGAGUGAUGAAGGCCCUAGGGUUGUAAAGCUCUUUUGUGCGGGAAGAUAAUGACGGUACCGCAAGAAUAAGCCCCGGCUAACUUCGUGCCAGCCGCCGCCGUAA
RNAcentral lists this ribosomal RNA (451 nucleotides) under uncultured bacterium. RNAcentral describes it as "partial 16S ribosomal RNA". It matches the Rfam family "Bacterial small subunit ribosomal RNA", at positions 29 to 523 of the family's 1533-position model. The record is from RNAcentral.